AGCCAAGGAGGCGAGGACCUGAACAAUCUCCGUACAGGCUGCACACCUAAUUCCGACAUUUUACGUCAGCUAAAAGUGUGGGGAGGACUUGGAAAAGUCUGAGCAUCGUUAAAUCUGCGGAUGCUGGCGUUGACGGAACGCGGCCAGGCACCCUUCCUGUAGUUGGGAGUGUAUCUCUCUCGUGUUUGUGUCGCCGGUGUCUGGCACUUUACGUGUCACAACCCCAAUAAUGACACCAGAAGUUACCCAGUUGCAAACCAGAAAUCUGGAGAUCAUCAGUGACACCUCCCCUUUCUCAUUCCUCACUUCCUAGUCAGCCUCUGAAAUGUUGGAUCCACAGCGGCACAGUCAAGCACACAGGCCCCAGAAACCGACCACCUGGGUUCACAUCCCAACAUUGUAUAACCUUGAGUAAGUUAUACGUAUCUCUGUUCGAUGGCUGUCUCCUCUGUCAAAUAAAGAUGAUAAUAGGACCUUC
Leopardus geoffroyi (Geoffroy's cat) is the source of this 478-nucleotide long non-coding RNA. RefSeq lists it as uncharacterized. The record is from RefSeq and is a predicted model, not a curated record. The transcript has 2 exons. NCBI's taxonomy places the organism in Eukaryota, Metazoa, Chordata, Mammalia, Carnivora, Felidae.